RNAcentral lists this transfer RNA (101 nucleotides) under Microbacterium foliorum. Its description in RNAcentral is "tRNA-Arg". The record is from RNAcentral. Lineage: Bacteria; Bacillati; Actinomycetota; Actinomycetes; Micrococcales; Microbacteriaceae.
ACGGCAUGUGGCUGGCGCUGGCGCUCGGCGCCGUUCUCGCGGCGGCCGGCGCCGUGGCCUCGCCGUGGCUGGUGUCGCUGUUCGGAGCGAGCGAUGCCGUC